UAUGUCAAGAAUGAAGUCAGUGUGGCUGCUGUGUCACAUUUGUGUGAGUAGGUGGCAGAGAGAAGAGAGGCUGUGUCUACGCUCAGUGUUUUGACUGGUGGGCAUCUGAAUGAUUAGUAGUCUGACAUU
Molecule: small nucleolar RNA, 129 nt
Filed under: Castor canadensis (American beaver)
Lineage: Eukaryota; Metazoa; Chordata; Mammalia; Rodentia; Castoridae
Description: Small nucleolar RNA SNORA17 (ENSCCNG00000028660.1)
Rfam family: Small nucleolar RNA SNORA17
About the family: snoRNA ACA 17 belongs to the H/ACA family of snoRNAs and is predicted to guide pseudouridylation of the 28S rRNA at positions U4659 and U4598. It shares the same host gene together with ACA43. NB This family has a high threshold value to exclude a large number of closely related sequences that do not appear to have conserved H and ACA boxes, and may be pseudogenes.
Source: Rfam by way of RNAcentral